Molecule: ribosomal RNA, 533 nt
Filed under: uncultured bacterium
Lineage: Bacteria
Description: bacterial SSU rRNA
Rfam family: Bacterial small subunit ribosomal RNA
Source: RNAcentral
AAUAGAUACCCUGGUAGUCCACGCCGUAAACGGUGGGCACUAGGUGUGGGCAACAUUCCACGUUGUCCGUGCCGCAGCUAACGCAUUAAGUGCCCCGCCUGGGGAGUACGGCCGCAAGGCUAAAACUCAAAGGAAUUGACGAGGGCCCGCACAAGCGGCGGAGCAUGUGGCUUAAUUCGACGCAACGCGAAGAACCUUACCAAGGCUUGACAUACACCGGAAAGCAUCAGAGAUGGUGCCCCCCUUGUGGUCGGUGUACAGGUGGUGCAUGGCUGUCGUCAGCUCGUGUCGUGAGAUGUUGGGUUAAGUCCCGCAGCGAGCGCAACCCUUGUCCCGUGUUGCCAGCAACUCUUCGGAGGUUGGGGACUCACGGGAGACCGCCGGGGUCAACUCGGAGGAAGGUGGGGACGACGUCAAGUCAUCAUGCCCCUUAUGUCUUGGGCUGCACACGUGCUACAAUGGCCGGUACAAUGAGCUGCGAUACCGCAAGGUGGAGCGAAUCUCAAAAGCCGGUCUCAGUUCGGAUUGGGGUC